GGGUUGUGAGGUUAAGCGACUAAGCGUACACGGUGGAUGCCCUGGCAGUCAGAGGCGAUGAAGGACGUGCUAAUCUGCGAUAAGCGUCGGUAAGGUGAUAUGAACCGUUAUAACCGGCGAUUUCCGAAUGGGGAAACCCAGUGUGUUUCGACACACUAUCAUUAACUGAAUCCAUAGGUUAAUGAGGCGAACCGGGGGAACUGAAACAUCUAAGUACCCCGAGGAAAAGAAAUCAACCGAGAUUCCCCCAGUAGCGGCGAGCGAACGGGGAGCAGCCCAGAGCCUGAAUCAGUGUGUGUGUUAGUGGAAGCGUCUGGAAAGGCGCGCGAUACAGGGUGACAGCCCCGUACACAAAAAUGCACAUGCUGUGAGCUCGAUGAGUAGGGCGGGACACGUGGUAUCCUGUCUGAAUAUGGGGGGACCAUCCUCCAAGGCUAAAUACUCCUGACUGACCGAUAGUGAACCAGUACCGUGAGGGAAAGGCGAAAAGAACCCCGGCGAGGGGAGUGAAAAAGAACCUGAAACCGUGUACGUACAAGCAGUGGGAGCACGCUUAGGCGUGUGACUGCGUACCUUUUGUAUAAUGGGUCAGCGACUUAUAUUCUGUAGCAAGGUUAACCGAAUAGGGGAGCCGAAGGGAAACCGAGUCUUAACUGGGCGUUAAGUUGCAGGGUAUAGACCCGAAACCCGGUGAUCUAGCCAUGGGCAGGUUGAAGGUUGGGUAACACUAACUGGAGGACCGAACCGACUAAUGUUGAAAAAUUAGCGGAUGACUUGUGGCUGGGGGUGAAAGGCCAAUCAAACCGGGAGAUAGCUGGUUCUCCCCGAAAGCUAUUUAGGUAGCGCCUCGUGAAUUCAUCUCCGGGGGUAGAGCACUGUUUCGGCAAGGGGGUCAUCCCGACUUACCAACCCGAUGCAAACUGCGAAUACCGGAGAAUGUUAUCACGGGAGACACACGGCGGGUGCUAACGUCCGUCGUGAAGAGGGAAACAACCCAGACCGCCAGCUAAGGUCCCAAAGUCAUGGUUAAGUGGGAAACGAUGUGGGAAGGCCCAGACAGCCAGGAUGUUGGCUUAGAAGCAGCCAUCAUUUAAAGAAAGCGUAAUAGCUCACUGGUCGAGUCGGCCUGCGCGGAAGAUGUAACGGGGCUAAACCAUGCACCGAAGCUGCGGCAGCGACGCUUAUGCGUUGUUGGGUAGGGGAGCGUUCUGUAAGCCUGUGAAGGUGUGCUGUGAGGCAUGCUGGAGGUAUCAGAAGUGCGAAUGCUGACAUAAGUAACGAUAAAGCGGGUGAAAAGCCCGCUCGCCGGAAGACCAAGGGUUCCUGUCCAACGUUAAUCGGGGCAGGGUGAGUCGACCCCUAAGGCGAGGCCGAAAGGCGUAGUCGAUGGGAAACAGGUUAAUAUUCCUGUACUUGGUGUUACUGCGAAGGGGGGACGGAGAAGGCUAUGUUGGCCGGGCGACGGUUGUCCCGGUUUAAGCGUGUAGGCUGGUUUUCCAGGCAAAUCCGGAAAAUCAAGGCUGAGGCGUGAUGACGAGGCACUACGGUGCUGAAGCAACAAAUGCCCUGCUUCCAGGAAAAGCCUCUAAGCAUCAGGUAACAUCAAAUCGUACCCCAAACCGACACAGGUGGUCAGGUAGAGAAUACCAAGGCGCUUGAGAGAACUCGGGUGAAGGAACUAGGCAAAAUGGUGCCGUAACUUCGGGAGAAGGCACGCUGAUAUGUAGGUGAAGUCCCUCGCGGAUGGAGCUGAAAUCAGUCGAAGAUACCAGCUGGCUGCAACUGUUUAUUAAAAACACAGCACUGUGCAAACACGAAAGUGGACGUAUACGGUGUGACGCCUGCCCGGUGCCGGAAGGUUAAUUGAUGGGGUCAGCGCAAGCGAAGCUCUUGAUCGAAGCCCCGGUAAACGGCGGCCGUAACUAUAACGGUCCUAAGGUAGCGAAAUUCCUUGUCGGGUAAGUUCCGACCUGCACGAAUGGCGUAAUGAUGGCCAGGCUGUCUCCACCCGAGACUCAGUGAAAUUGAACUCGCUGUGAAGAUGCAGUGUACCCGCGGCAAGACGGAAAGACCCCGUGAACCUUUACUAUAGCUUGACACUGAACAUUGAGCCUUGAUGUGUAGGAUAGGUGGGAGGCUUAGAAGUGUGGACGCCAGUCUGCAUGGAGCCGACCUUGAAAUACCACCCUUUAAUGUUUGAUGUUCUAACGUUGACCCGUAAUCCGGGUUGCGGACAGUGUCUGGUGGGUAGUUUGACUGGGGCGGUCUCCUCCUAAAGAGUAACGGAGGAGCACGAAGGUUGGCUAAUCCUGGUCGGACAUCAGGAGGUUAGUGCAAUGGCAUAAGCCAGCUUGACUGCGAGCGUGACGGCGCGAGCAGGUGCGAAAGCAGGUCAUAGUGAUCCGGUGGUUCUGAAUGGAAGGGCCAUCGCUCAACGGAUAAAAGGUACUCCGGGGAUAACAGGCUGAUACCGCCCAAGAGUUCAUAUCGACGGCGGUGUUUGGCACCUCGAUGUCGGCUCAUCACAUCCUGGGGCUGAAGUAGGUCCCAAGGGUAUGGCUGUUCGCCAUUUAAAGUGGUACGCGAGCUGGGUUUAGAACGUCGUGAGACAGUUCGGUCCCUAUCUGCCGUGGGCGCUGGAGAACUGAGGGGGGCUGCUCCUAGUACGAGAGGACCGGAGUGGACGCAUCACUGGUGUUCGGGUUGUCAUGCCAAUGGCACUGCCCGGUAGCUAAAUGCGGAAGAGAUAAGUGCUGAAAGCAUCUAAGCACGAAACUUGCCCCGAGAUGAGUUCUCCCUGACUCCUUGAGAGUCCUGAAGGAACGUUGAAGACGACGACGUUGAUAGGCCGGGUGUGUAAGCGCAGCGAUGCGUUGAGCUAACCGGUACUAAUGAACCGUGAGGCUUAACCUUACAACGCCGAAGGUGUUU
RNAcentral lists this ribosomal RNA (2931 nucleotides) under Escherichia coli. RNAcentral's name for it is "23S ribosomal RNA". It matches the Rfam family "Bacterial large subunit ribosomal RNA". The record is from RNAcentral. Lineage: Bacteria; Pseudomonadati; Pseudomonadota; Gammaproteobacteria; Enterobacterales; Enterobacteriaceae.